UUUUUUUUUUUUUUUGGCCGCCCAAGUACUUGCCCAACCAACUCCCAAACACACAACCUGGAAAGCUAUAUCACUGCUCUGAGCCUCAGUUUCUGCACCUAUAAAAUGAGGACUUGACAGGAGUUGCCGUCAUGACUCAGUGGUUAAUGAAUCCGACUAGGAACCAUGAGCUUGCGGGUUUGAUCCCUGGCCUUGAUCAGUGGGUUAAGGAUCCGGCGUUGCCAUGAGCUGUGGAGUAGGUUGCAGAUGCGGCUCAGAUCCUGCAUUGCUGUGGCUCUGGUGUAGGCCGGCGGCUACAGCUCCAAUUCAACCCCUAGCCUGGGAACCUCUAUAUGCUGUAGGAGCGGCCCAAGAAAUGGCAAAAAAAAAAAAAAAAGAGGACUUGACAAAUGGUAGCUGUCCAGCUGGGUAAUGAGGACUGAAUGCAUACUCAUAAUUUUAAUUAUAAAAUUACUCUUAAAAUUAAUAUUUAAUUCUCACAACAACCCUAUAAAAGCAAUACUACUACUCUAGCCAUUUACAGAUGAGAAAAUUAAGGCUUGGGGAAGUUAGAUACAACCACUGUGAACUAGAUUAACUAGGAUUCAAGACCAGGUCUAUUCAACUUGAGCUUGGUGUCUCAAACAUAAAGCUAAGCAGCCUGCUCCCUGUGCCCAGCCUGAACCUCGCUAAGUGAUGUGUGGGCCUGUCUUUGUGCAACUCCAUGGGUUUAGCGGUCAGACAGGCCAUCAACCUUCCAGCUCCAUUCAAAAAGGUACACAGAUAUGCAGACUGUCACAGGGGCCUAAAAGAGUUUGCCUAAGUGCAUAUGGAGGGAUGACAAACUUCACCCAAGUGGCAGGCCCCUGCGAUAAUAAUCCCAGGUGGCUGACCACUGCUUAUCUCUGACAGCCCUGCCUGAAUCAUCAUACCUCAUCCCAAACAAUCUGAUUGCCCCAAACACUGACAAGACUAGUUUACUCCUGAAAUUCUACAGUAAAAUGGGAAUUCAAACAGGCUGGAUUUAAAACACAGAAGAAAAGAAAAUUACUCACCCUGUCUAGGGGGCUGGGAGGAUUUCAUAUGAGCUGAUGAUGAAAACAGGAGGGAGAACAAAGGGGAGGGAGAGGGCCAAAAGGACCAGAAAGACACAAGAAGAGAGACAAUAAUGUGCUGAUGCUCAUGGCUGGGAGGAGAGGCAUGCGCUGGUGCAAUGUAUCUGCCUGAUGCUGUGGAGUGGGGCUGGAGGUAGGGAAGAAAAGUUUAGGUGCUGGGUGAAAGCUGCAGUAGGGAGAAAGAGAUAGGGUCUCCGAGCUUCUCAAAAUCCUAGUGGAGUCACAGGCUGCCUUCAAGCUUAGUGAGGACACAUCUUUUGCCCUGGUAAUUUACUAUAAGGACAUGCAACCUGCUCCAGGGGGCGAAAGCCUGGGAGAGCUGCUGGGGACCUAUGGUCACCAAUCCCUCUCUCUGAAGCAAGCAAGAGGCACCGAUCCACCUGCCAAGCGUGCCUUUAUGAGGUGAGCACUUGGGAGCCCAGACAGGCUGCCUGGGCACAGAACCCAAUAGCUGACAAGUCAGGCUCAUCAAAGAUACAAAGCCAUCCAUUCUAAAAUGCCCAUCAGGUUAGUCCAGCCUCAGGCCAGCUGGUCAAAGCAGCCAUGCUGGGCAGUGCAGAGGGGAGGCAGCGUCUGUCACCUGAGGACUUUGGAGCAGGGCCAGGAAGCUUUCCUCAGCAGGCAGUGCUUCCAAAUGACUCAAAUGGCCAUGGCUGCUGCUCCCAUAGCCCCUCUUCCCUGCCCAGACCCCAUACUCACCACAGGCCUGCCCAUAUGCAGUGGCCUGGACAAAGAGGACAUAGAGGGGAGGUGGUAGGUGUCUGGCUGUCUCAUACUGCUUGUGAGCCUGGUCGAAGGGCAUAAACAGGUACUCUUGCACUGGGAGGGAAGCCUGCAAGCAAUAAAAGAAGUGAUUUUGUUUUUCUUUUAUAGGUAGUCCUCACAGGACCAUGUGGCUGCUUAAUUAACUACAUAUAGUUUUUUAUUUUUGAAAGUGAUAUUCGAUAAGCUAACAAAACCAACCAGUGAAUAAAAGGUCAUUAAGAUAAGAAAAAUAAAGAGUUCCCUUAUGGCUCAGGGGUUAUGGAUCUAGCAUCUCUGCAGCGGCUUGGGUCACUGCUGUGGCAUGGGUUCACUCCCUAGCCCAGGAGCUUCCACAUGCUGUAGGCUUGGCCAAAAAAAAAAAAAAAAACACUUCUCUUUUUUUCAGGGCCACACCUGUGGCAUAUUGAAGUUCCUAAGCCAGGGGUCAAACCGGAGCUACAGCUGCUGGCCUACACCACGACAAUAUGGGAUCCAAGCUGAGUCUGCUACCUACACCAUAGCUCAUGGCAAAACAGGAUCCCCGAGCCACUGAGUGAAGCCAGGGAUCGAACCUGCAUCCUCAUGGAUACUAGUCGGAUUUGUUUAUGCUGCACCAUAUGGGAACUCCUUGUUUUUUUUUAAAUUGAAGUACAGUUAAUUUAUUUUUAUUUAUUUAUUCAUUUUGUCUUUUUGCCUUUUCUAGGGCCACUCCCGCAGCAUAUGGAGGUUGAGGAUUCCACACUGUCACUGCUGUGGCGUGGGUUCAAUCCCUGCCCUGGGAACCUUCCCAUCCCAUGGGUGGGGCCAAAAAAAAAAAAAAAAAAA
This 2663-nucleotide long non-coding RNA is filed under the name Sus scrofa (pig). RNAcentral describes it as "lncRNA (ENSSSCG00030042412.1)". Lineage: Eukaryota; Metazoa; Chordata; Mammalia; Artiodactyla; Suidae. The record is from RNAcentral.